Molecule: ribosomal RNA, 716 nt
Filed under: Stenotrophomonas maltophilia
Lineage: Bacteria; Pseudomonadati; Pseudomonadota; Gammaproteobacteria; Lysobacterales; Lysobacteraceae
Description: bacterial SSU rRNA
Rfam family: Bacterial small subunit ribosomal RNA
Source: RNAcentral
AGUGGCGGACGGGUGAGGAAUACAUCGGAAUCUACUUUUUCGUGGGGGAUAACGUAGGGAAACUUACGCUAAUACCGCAUACGACCUACGGGUGAAAGCAGGGGAUCUUCGGACCUUGCGCGAUUGAAUGAGCCGAUGUCGGAUUAGCUAGUUGGCGGGGUAAAGGCCCACCAAGGCGACAAUCCGUAGCUGGUCUGAGAGGAUGAUCAGCCACACUGGAACUGAGACACGGUCCAGACUCCUACGGGAGGCAGCAGUGGGGAAUAUUGGACAAUGGGCGCAAGCCUGAUCCAGCCAUACCGCGUGGGUGAAGAAGGCCUUCGGGUUGUAAAGCCCUUUUGUUGGGAAAGAAAUCCAGCUGGCUAAUACCCGGUUGGGAUGACGGUACCCAAAGAAUAAGCACCGGCUAACUUCAUGCCAGCAGCCGCGGUAAUACGAAGGGUGCAAGCGUUACUCGGAAUUACUGGGCGUAAAGCGUGCGUAGGUGGUCGUUUAAGUCCGUUGUGAAAGCCCUGGGCUCAACCUGGGAACUGCAGUGGAUACUGGACGACUAGAGUGUGGUAGAGGGUAGCGGAAUUCCUGGUGUAGCAGUGAAAUGCGUAGAGAUCAGGAGGAACAUCCAUGGCGAAGGCAGCUACCUGGACCAACACUGACACUGAGGCACGAAAGCGUGGGGAGCAAACAAGAUUAGAUACCCUGGUAGUCCACGCCCUAAA